RNAcentral lists this ribosomal RNA (2208 nucleotides) under marine metagenome. Its description in RNAcentral is "bacterial LSU rRNA". It matches the Rfam family "Bacterial large subunit ribosomal RNA", at positions 14 to 2302 of the family's 2925-position model. The record is from RNAcentral.
AGGGCGUAUGGGGAAUGCCUAGGCUCUCAGAGGCGAUGAAGGACGCGAUAAGCUGCGAAAAGCUGUGGGGAGGUGCACAUAACUUGUGAUCCGCAGAUAUCCGAAUGGGGCAACCCACUAUAUUGAAGGUAUAGUAUCCCGUAAGGGAAGUGAACCCGGUGAACUGAAACAUCUAAGUAGCCGGAGGAAGAGAAAACAAAAGUGAUUCCGGGAGUAGUGGCGAGCGAAACCGGAUUAGCCCAAACCAGUGUUGUUUCGGCAAUACUGGGGUUGUAGGACCACGACAUUGAUUGCGUAAUGAAUUAGAACACUUUGGAAAGAGUGACCGAAGAGGGUGAUAGUCCCGUACAAGUAAAGAGCGUUAAUUAUAGUGGUAUCCUGAGUAGUGCGGGGCACGUGAAACCCUGUAUGAAUCAAGCGGGACCAUCCGUUAAGGCUAAAUACUCCUGAGAGACCGAUAGUGAACCAGUACCGUGAGGGAAAGGUGAAAAGAACCCUGAAUAAGGGAGUGAAAUAGAUCCUGAAACCAUACGCUUACAAGCGGUCGGAGCCAUUCGUGGUGACGGCGUGCCUUUUGCAUAAUGAGCCUACGAGUUACCGUUUCUAGCAAGGUUAAGCACUUCAGGUGCGGAUCCGUAGCGAAAGCGAGUCUGAAUAGGGCGACCAUAGUUAGUAGUAGUAGACGCGAAACCGUGUGAUCUACCCAUGGGCAGGUUGAAGCUUUGUUAACCCAAAGUGGAGGACCGAACCCGUUGACGUUGAAAAGUCUUGGGAUGACCUGUGGGUAGGGGUGAAAGGCCAAUCAAACUCGGAAAUAGCUCGUACUCCCCGAAAUGCAUUUAGGUGCAGCGUUGAGUGAAAGUUUUAUAGAGGUAGAGCUACUGAUUGGAUGCGGGGGCUUCACCGCCUACCAAUUCCUGACAAACUCCGAAUGCUAUAAAAUGUUGUUGAGCAGUGAGGGCAUGGGUGCUAAGGUCCAUGUCCGAGAGGGAAAGAACCCAGAUCAUCAGCUAAGGUCCCCAAGUGUAUGCUAAGUUGACAAAACGCGGUAAAACUGCAUUGACAGCCAGGAUGUUGGCUUGGAAGCAGCCAUUCAUUUAAAGAGUGCGUAACAGCUCACUGGUCGAGCGGUUUUGCAUGGAUAAUAAUCGGGCAUAAGUAUACCACCGAAGCUAUGACUUUGUCUUAUGACAAGGGGUAGGGGAGCAUUCUAUGGGCAUUGAAGGUGCUGGCGUGAGCCGUGCUGGAGCGCAUAGAAACGAAAAUGUAGGCAUAAGUAACGAUAAUGCGGGCGAGAAACCCGCACGCCGAAAGACCAAGGUUUCCCCAGCUAUGCUAAUCAGCUGGGGGUCAGUCGGGACCUAACGCGAACCCGAACGGGGUAGUGGAUGGACAAUCAGUUAAUAUUCUGAUACCUGCUCACAUUAAAAGUGACGGGGAUGAGGCGUUGGUGCGAAGAGACGGAAUUCUUCGUUGAAGGUAGCGGAAGCUACUGAUAGUACACUGAGGCUUCGGCCAAGGUGAUAAUCCAGCUUAUCAUCCUCCAAGAAAAACAAGUGAAGCAGCCCGUACCGUAAACCGACACAGGUGGUUGGGAUGAGUAUUCUAAGGCGCUCGAGAGAUUCAUGGCUAAGGAACUAGGCAAAAUAGACCCGUAACUUCGGGAGAAGGGUCGCCCCCUUAUGGGGGGCCGCAGUGAAGAGGUCCAGGCGACUGUUUAUCAAAAACACAGGGCUCUGCUAAAUCGAAAGAUGACGUAUAGGGCCUGACACCUGCCCGGUGCUGGAAGGUUAAGAGGAGAUGUUAUUUUUCGGAAGAAGCAUUGAAUUGAAGCCCCAGUAAACGGCGGCCGUAACUAUAACGGUCCUAAGGUAGCGAAAUUCCUUGUCGGGUAAGUUCCGACCUGCACGAAUGGUGCAACGAUCUGGACACUGUCUCGGCCAUGAGCUCGGUGAAAUUGUAGUAACGGUGAAGAUGCCGUUUACCCGCAGUGGGACGAAAAGACCCCGUGCACCUUUACUAUAGCUUCGUAUUGACCCUGGAUAAGUAAUGUGUAGGAUAGCUAGGAGACUUUGAAGCGGCGUCGCCAGGCGUUGUGGAGUCAUUGUUGAAAUACUAGCCUUUGCUUAUUUGGGGCCUAACUCUCGAAAGAGAGAACAGUGCGUGGUGGGUAGUUUGACUGGGGUGGUCGCCUCCAAAAGAGUAACG